AAAACUCCGGUGGUAUGGGAUGGAUCCGCGUCUGAUUAGCUGGUUGGUGAGGUAACGGCCCACCAAGGCGACGAUCAGUAGCCGACCUGAGAGGGUGGCCGGCCACAUUGGGACUGAGACACGGCCCAAACUCCUACGGGAGGCAGCAGUGGGGAAUAUUGCACAAUGGGGGAAACCCUGAUGCAGCAACGCCGCGUGAGUGAAGAAGUAUUUCGGUAUGUAAAGCUCUAUCAGCAGGGAAGAAGAAAGACGGUACCUGACUAAGAAGCCCCGGCUAACUACGUGCCAGCAGCCGCGGUAAUACGUAGGGGGCAAGCGUUAUCCGGAUUUACUGGGUGUAAAGGGAGCGUAGACGGCUGUGCAAGUCUGAAGUGAAAGCCCGUGGCUCAACCGCGGAACUGCUUUGGAAACUGUAUAGCUUGAGUACUGGAGAGGCAGGCGGAAUUCCUAGUGUAGCGGUGAAAUGCGUAGAUAUUAGGAGGAACACCAGUGGCGAAGGCGGCCUGCUGGACAGAAACUGACGUUGAGGCUCGAAAGCGUGGGGAGCAGACAGGAUUAGAUACCCUGGUAGUCCACGCGGUAAACGAUGAAUGCUAGGUGUUGGGGAGCAAAGCUCUUCG
This 620-nucleotide ribosomal RNA is filed under the name uncultured bacterium. RNAcentral's name for it is "bacterial SSU rRNA". It matches the Rfam family "Bacterial small subunit ribosomal RNA", at positions 202 to 842 of the family's 1533-position model. The record is from RNAcentral.